RNAcentral lists this ribosomal RNA (449 nucleotides) under uncultured bacterium. RNAcentral describes it as "bacterial SSU rRNA". It matches the Rfam family "Bacterial small subunit ribosomal RNA", at positions 29 to 506 of the family's 1533-position model. The record is from RNAcentral.
AUUAACGCUAGCGGUGCGCCUAACACAUGCAAGUCGAGCGGGAUUGAGAGAAAGUUUACUUUUGAUCAUGAGAGCGGCGAACGGGUGAGUAAUAUGUUGGCAUCUACCCCCAAGUCAGGGAUAGCCCACUGAAAAGUGGAUUAAUACCGGAUAGUCUCUUAGGAGUAAAAAUUUAUUGCUUGGGGAGGAGCCUACAUUCUAUCAGCUAGUUGGUGAAGUAAUGGUUUACCAAGGCUAUGACGGAUAGCUGGUCUGAGAGGAUGAUCAGCCACAAUGGAACUGAGACACGGUCCAUACUCCUACGGGAGGCAGCAGUGAGGAAUCUUCCACAAUGGGCGAAAGCCUGAUGGAGCGACACCGCGUGAAGGAUGAAGGUCUAACGACUGUAAACUUCUUUUCUGAAGGAGCAUAAUGAGAGUACUUCAGGAAUAAGCACCGGCAAAACUCGU